CUCAAUCAACAUAAAACUUCAAGGUUAAAAUUGCAUUUAGAAUAUUUGACUCCAGAGUUGCCAUUUACGACAGUUCGAUAAAAUGUCUAUUUUGACUGGCCGUAGGUUGGGUGGGUGAGGCGGAGCCCCUUCUGUGGUGCGCUCCUCAGCAUUACACUACACCCUUGGGGGCGUUUCAAUGCGUGGAGUGAGUGAUGUUCAAAUAUCAACUCUAUCUCAAUAGCUAACCUAAUUGACUAGCAGAUCACCCGCAGGUCGCUGUGUUAAAGGAUUAUAAUUUGAAUCGCCACUACACGACCAAGCAUGAAGAUAAAUACAGAAAUCUGUCUGAUGAAGAGCGCGCGUGGGAUUCUGAUGCGUUGCUAGCAAAACUGCAAACCCAACAAGGACUUUUUACACCCCCAGAGGUGCAGCCAUCAGGACAAG
This is a long non-coding RNA of Esox lucius (northern pike), 426 nucleotides long. RefSeq lists it as uncharacterized. Lineage: Eukaryota; Metazoa; Chordata; Actinopteri; Esociformes; Esocidae. The transcript has 2 exons. The record is from RefSeq and is a predicted model, not a curated record.